GCCAGAGCUCUCUGCGCUUUCUCUGUGUAGUCCCAGCUACUCGGGAGGCUGAGACAGGAGGAUCGCUUGAGUCCAGGGGUUCUGGGCUGUAGUGCGCUAUGCCAAACGGGUGUCCGCACUACGUUGGGCAUCAAUAUGCUGACCUCCCAGGAGCGGAGGACCACCAGGUUGCCUAAGGAGGGGUGAACCGGCCCAGGUCGGAAACAGAGCAGGUCAAAACUCCGGUGCUGAUCAGUAGUGGGAUCGCGCCUGUGAAUAGCCACUGCACUCCAGCCUGUCUCUUUCGCUGGUCUC
Molecule: signal recognition particle RNA, 294 nt
Filed under: Peromyscus maniculatus bairdii (prairie deer mouse)
Lineage: Eukaryota; Metazoa; Chordata; Mammalia; Rodentia; Cricetidae
Description: Metazoan signal recognition particle RNA (ENSPEMG00000004865.2)
Rfam family: Metazoan signal recognition particle RNA
About the family: The signal recognition particle (SRP) is a universally conserved ribonucleoprotein.
Source: RNAcentral